Molecule: ribosomal RNA, 406 nt
Filed under: uncultured bacterium
Lineage: Bacteria
Description: partial 16S ribosomal RNA
Rfam family: Bacterial small subunit ribosomal RNA
Source: RNAcentral
AUUGAACGCUGGCGGCAGGCCUAACACAUGCAAGUCGAGCGAGCGGCGGACGGGUGAGUAAUGUCUGGGAAACUGCCUGAUGGAGGGGGAUAACUACUGGAAACGGUAGCUAAUACCGCAUACCAUCAGAUGUGCCCAGCUGGGAUUAGCUAGUAGGUGGGGUAACGGCUCACCUCGUCGACGAUCCCUAGCUGGGCUGAGAGGAUGACCAGCCACACUGGAACUGAGACACGGGUCAGACGCCGACGGGAGGCAGCAGGGGGGAAUAUUGCACAAUGGGCGCAAGCAUGAUGCAGCCAUGCCGCGUGUGUGAAGAAGGCCUUCGGGUUGUAAAGCACUUUCAGCGGGGAGGCGUUACCCGCAGAAGAAGCACCGGCUAACGCCGUGCCAGCAGCCGCGGUAAUUC